This 597-nucleotide ribosomal RNA is filed under the name uncultured bacterium. Its description in RNAcentral is "bacterial SSU rRNA". It matches the Rfam family "Bacterial small subunit ribosomal RNA", at positions 338 to 956 of the family's 1533-position model. The record is from RNAcentral.
CCUACGGGAGGCAGCAGUGGGGAAUCUUGCGCAAUGGGCGAAAGCCUGACGCAGCCAUGCCGCGUGAAUGAUGAAGGUCUUAGGAUUGUAAAAUUCUUUCACCGGGGACGAUAAUGACGGUACCCGGAGAAGAAGCCCCGGCUAACUUCGUGCCAGCAGCCGCGGUAAUACGAAGGGGGCUAGCGUUGCUCGGAAUUACUGGGCGUAAAGGGAGCGUAGGCGGAUAGUUUAGUCAGAGGUGAAAGCCCAGGGCUCAACCUUGGAAUUGCCUUUGAUACUGGCUAUCUUGAGUGUGGGAGAGGUAUGUGGAACUCCGAGUGUAGAGGUGAAAUUCGUAGAUAUUCGGAAGAACACCAGUGGCGAAGGCGACAUACUGGCCCAUUACUGACGCUGAGGCUCGAAAGCGUGGGGAGCAAACAGGAUUAGAUACCCUGGUAGUCCACGCUGUAAACGAUGAGUGCUAGUUGUCGGCAUGCAUGCAUGUCGGUGACGCAGCUAACGCAUUAAGCACUCCGCCUGGGGAGUACGGUCGCAAGAUUAAAACUCAAAAGAGUAAGUGACGNGAGAGAGCGACGACGACGACGACGGAGGAGGAGG